RNAcentral lists this ribosomal RNA (439 nucleotides) under uncultured bacterium. Its description in RNAcentral is "partial 16S ribosomal RNA". It matches the Rfam family "Bacterial small subunit ribosomal RNA", at positions 338 to 795 of the family's 1533-position model. The record is from RNAcentral.
CCUACGGGAGGCAGCAGUGGGGGAUAUUGCACAAUGGGGGGAACCCUGAUGCAGCGACGCCGCGUGGGUGAAGGAGCGUUUCGGCGCGUAAAGCCCUAUCGGCCGGGAAGAAGAUGACGGUACCUGACCAAGAAGCCCCGGCAAACUACGUGCCAGCAGCCGCGGUAAUACGGAGGCUGCGAGCGUUAUCCGGAUUUAUUGGGUUUAAAGGGUGCGCAGGCGGAGGCACAAGUCAGCGGUAAAAUCGCGGGGCUCAACCCCGUUCCGCCGUUGAAACUGUGUCCCUUGAGUGCGCGAAGGGUAGGCGGAAUGCGUGGUGUAGCGGUGAAAUGCAUAGAUAUCACGCAGAACUCCGAUCGCGAAGGCAGCCUACCGGCGCGCAACUGACGCUCAUGCACGAAAGCGUGGGUAUCGAACAGGAUUAGAUACCCCUGUAGUC